CCUACGGGAGGCAGCAGUGGGGGAUAUUGCACAAUGGGGGAAACCCUGAUGCAGCGACGCCGCGUGAGUGAAGAAGUAUUUCGGUAUGUAAAGCUCUAUCAGCAGGGAAGAAAAAAGCCGGUACCUGACUAAGAAACCCCGGCUAACUACGUGCCAGCAGCCGCGGUAAUACGUAGGGGGCAAGCGUUAUCCGGAUUUACUGGGGGUAAAGGGAGGGUAGAAGGCAAUACAAGUCGGAAGUGAAAUACCCGGGCUCAACCUGGGAACUGCUUUGGAAACUGUAUGGCUGGAGUGCUGGAGGGGUAAGCGGAAUUCCGAGUGUAGCGGUGAAAUGCGUAGAUAUUAGGAGGA
This 351-nucleotide ribosomal RNA is filed under the name uncultured bacterium. RNAcentral describes it as "partial 16S ribosomal RNA". It matches the Rfam family "Bacterial small subunit ribosomal RNA", at positions 338 to 705 of the family's 1533-position model. The record is from RNAcentral.